This is a long non-coding RNA of Nomascus leucogenys (northern white-cheeked gibbon), 1730 nucleotides long. RefSeq lists it as uncharacterized. NCBI's taxonomy places the organism in Eukaryota, Metazoa, Chordata, Mammalia, Primates, Hylobatidae. The transcript is spliced from 4 exons. The record is from RefSeq and is a predicted model, not a curated record.
AUAAGAUCAGUUUCUAUAGGUAGAGGAUAAUGUGUCCUAAAAUGUAGGUAGAGACAAGUCUGACAGUGGUUUAGACAAGAAGGGCCUCUGCUAAUGGUGGAGAGAUCAAGGAAGAAAAGAGCAAUGUUAAAGUGAGGCUGUCCCCACAGACCGUGCUCAAGCAAACUCGAACUGUGAGCACAUUUCUCUUAAACAAUGAACACUUAGAAUAAAAAUUAAAAUUUCCCACGAAUUUCUAAUUUUAAAAUAGUUUCCCAAGAUUUCAGUGGUAUCGUAUAUAUGCCCAUAAAAUUUUUUGGAUUACUAUUCCCACAAGUGUAAGAUGAAAGGGGACCUGCUCUCCAUUCUAUCUACUCCCUCACUGCAGAUGCCAUUUUGAAGAUCUCAGUUUUACUGAAAGGGGUCUGCUACCCAUAACUUCCCUGGUGUACCAGCAACAAGUGUUCAGUGGACCAUGACAACACAAAGAAUGAUGGAGGAGAGAAAAUGCCAUGCAGAAGUGAUAGUUAAGAUGAAGGUGUGGGAGAGGAGCAGCCCCCAGUAUAUAUUCAGUGUGUCCUCUGAAGUAACAACCAUCCCAUCUGGCUGAGAAGUGAUGGACACGGCUCCUUAACCACACUGUACCCUCCGUUCUUGGCACCUCUCUACCAGAAAGAUAUCGACAAAUUGGAUGGAAUUCAGAGAACAGCAAGAAAAAUGAUUAAAGAGAUGGAGGCAGUGACUUAUGAGGAAAGAUGAAAAGGACUAAAUCUGUAUAGCUUGGCAAAGCAACAACUGAGUGACUUCCUAUUAUCCUUCUCAAAGUUAUUGCUGCAGAGGAAAGAAGCAUAGAUCUUUUACCCACCAGGAAACACCCAAAGCACCUAUUACCAUAAUAGCCAUGGGAAACAGAUGGCACCUCAAAUAAAGGUGGGGGGAAAGAAGGAAAGAAACGGCUUUGGCCUGUGCCUGUUUGACCUCUGAGAGAUACUUUUUGCAAGAAAUUGUUAAGUUUUGGCCCAAAAAGUGGUCGGUCUUUUAUCUUUCUUUGUGGAGGCCAAAAUGCAAACCAGGGUGAAGAAACCAUCAGUGGCAGUUUGGGGAGGCGGAGGAGGGACUCCCUAGACUCAGUGAAUCACCAAGGAAACAUGAGGCCUAUUUCUCUGUGAAGCUAAACUUCAAAAAACAAUCUAAGAGAUACAAAGGGAAAAGUGUGACUGCUCUGACAGCAAAAACAAGCAAAUAUCUCCAGAGGGGAUUAAUCCUUCUGCUUCAAAGUAACUAAAACAAAGAAAGCUGAGCCAGCUUCACUGGAAACAACACUUGUCCGUCAGACAAGGAUGAGCUAAUCAAAAGAAAACACUGUCUGUGUGCAGGACUCAGCGGCCUGGACAGCUAAUACCAAGGAACACGUUUUCACUAUAAAGAUUCAGCUUUCAAAAUCCAGUUCCCUCUUGUAGAGCCACAGGGUUAAAAGGGACCUUAGAGAUCAUCUACAAACCCUCAAUGAAUGCCAGUCUUCGCUUUAUGUCCUUCUUGCCGGACUCUUUUCUGGCCUCUGUUCUGUCAGGAUGUUUCCUGUUUUGCAAAACAGCUUUAGUCCUUGAGUAUAUUUAAUUGCUGGAAAACAGUUCCUCAAAUUUGACCCCAAAUUUAAGUCUAAUUUAUGAAGAAAGUUUUGCCUUUGGAGACAGGUUUAAUUUUACUUCCAUGUGGAAAAUCUUCAAAUAAAAUGAUGACUAUUGUGUACU